UUUACAUUUACAAUCCAAUUAUAUACAGUCUACAAAUGUUAUAUCAAACACCCAGAUGUAAUAACCUACUCGUAUUCGAUUGGCGCGGUUGUUGGAUGCAGUGUUAUCCAAAAACACUGCAAAAAACCUUGUUUGUUUUAGGUGACGACCGAAAAAGAUAAAGAAGACUACGAAGCAGAAAGGAAAUUUAGAAAAUCAGAAAACAGCCCCUUCUUCCCACUCAGUACAAGAAACGUGCGCCUCAUGUUGCUCUACGUGCCUUCGUAACGUAUAUUCACGAUAAGAAACGACAAACAGAUCUCUUUUGCUGUCAAUUUGGGAAAGUUUGACAGGGAAAAUGAACGAUUUGGUGGACCAGAAUUAUCACUUUGCUGGCAGUGACAGACGACAUUCCUAACUGGACAACAACAACUUUUAAGAGCCGGCCGACCUUACUUUGUUUAAAGACUCCAAGUUCGAGAGAACUGCGGAGAGCCGUACGACCUUGCUUUGUUUGAAGACUGCGAGUUCGUGAGAACUGCGAUAGUGUAGAAUGAGAAUGUGGGUAUUUCAUCGAAUUAAAUAAUGGGAUAUAUAGUUAAAUGGUGAAAGCGUCAGUUAAUCCUAAGAGCAAAGAGAAAAACUAUGAUUAUGAUUUUUCCUCUCGUUCAGCGUAUUAAAAUUUUAAUUGGAUGUAGUGCAUCAAUUCUUUCAUCUGGCACUCUUGAAGGCAGACUACACGUAGAUAUUAUUUUGACAGAUGUACUCCAUCUCUAUCUCUCUCUCAGUUUCCAUGUUUAACACGAGUAAUGUUUCAUCAAAAUCUGAGACAUUCGUAUCUCAAUAAGUAUGCACUUUGACCGCUUCGUGAGCAAACGGUAGGCGACGAUUUCGGGACAUUAAUGGAAAUGAAACAGAUGAACAUAAAGCGAAUUGUGCUUAAAAGAUAAUUGAAUUGAUUGCUCUAAUAAAGCAAAAUAAAUUACCUUGCAGCCAUCUUGACAUAUCCGUAUCUGGCGGGGCAAAGAAGAUGGUUCAGACCGCUGAUA
Molecule: long non-coding RNA, 1028 nt
Organism: Pocillopora verrucosa
Lineage: Eukaryota; Metazoa; Cnidaria; Anthozoa; Scleractinia; Pocilloporidae
Source: RefSeq, a predicted model, not a curated record